ACUCAUGUUCCAUCCAGCAAAUGAAGUAUCACGAGCACACGCCAGAGGAACCAAAUUCUCUAGGGUGAGUCAGGUAUAGCUUUUUGAAGAGGUGACCUUUAAACUGAGACUAAAGACAAGUAGGAUUUUACUAAAUGAAUAGGAUUUUACUGAAUCCAGGAAUUGGAAGGAAAAGAAAACAGUUCUCUAUUCAUGCUAGUUAACUAAUCAAUUCAAUAUGUAUUAACUGAGCACGCUACAUGCUAGGCACUCUUCUAAGUGCAGGGGAGACAGCAGUGAAGAAAGCAGACAAAGUCUCUGAACUCCUGUGUCUUCUAUUCAAAUGGGGAAGAUGAACAAUGAACAGAUAACACAAAUAGAAGGCCCAGAAUACUCAGUACCUCUCAAUGACCCUCAGACGCUGUAGGAAGAGGAUUGGUUCACCUUUUAACCCAGAAUUUCUCACAUUGAAUGGACAGGAUGCAUUCCAAGAGGCCAGAGUAUGUGCAUCUCAGCUCCUGAUGGUUUCCACCACCACCAUUACUUUCUCUAUGUCAAGAUACCUGGGAAGCCGGAGACAGGCAGCCCACGCACUGCAGUGAUGAAAGGACUCUCCAACGAGGCAGACAGGAACCCUGCAGUUGGGAAUACAGAGCCUUCUCCUAUGGGAAGACCACAGGAAAAAGAAACACCCAAGGGGGAGGCAUGAGUCUUUGUGAAGUAAGGAUGAUUUACAAGGCAACCAAAGAAAUGUCUUGGCUUUCUUAUCUAAGGCUGAUAGAAAAGAGAAUGGAAGAUAAGUAAUUAAGGAAGUAAUUAUACUAUAGACCAAAAGAAGGGACAGGGAGCUAGGAGUCUGCGGAUGUUUUCCGUUCUGCCAUUAAACUAGAGCAUGACCUUGGGCAGAUUAGUUUCCUCCGCUGCAAAACCAGGAUCAAACUCUGUGAUUAUUUAAUUGUCAUGACUCAAAUCUCUGUACUUGCUCAUUUCAGCUCAUUUCCCCCCUUUCAGUGACCUUGAUGAAAUUUUCCUGUGCCUCUUUUUA
This 1024-nucleotide long non-coding RNA is filed under the name Homo sapiens (human). RNAcentral describes it as "HSALNT0308791". Lineage: Eukaryota; Metazoa; Chordata; Mammalia; Primates; Hominidae. The record is from RNAcentral.